CAGAUUUUGUCGUGUUUUAAUUGUGUUUUAAAUAAUCAUUAGUUUAACAAGAGGGGAAAAUUUUUAAUUUUGCCCUCACUCGUCCUUUACGUAUUAGCUAUGCAUCUGUAUAUCGUAGUAGGAAUUUGGGAACCAUUACUACUGUACGGGCCUAAAUUUGUCCGGCCCUUUAGAAAACCCAAUAAUAACAACAAAACCCUAAACCCGAGAGGCCCAAAAUCUAAAAAAAAUUUUACCCUAAUGCCCAUGUACGCCGUACCCCUCCUCGAUCACGUCGCCUAUACCUCGUCCCAUGGAUUCUAGUCCCGAGGCCUGCCCUUCCUGUCUCCAUUUCACCGAAACGGCAAAGGGUUGGCCUCCUUUAUUCGUUGACCCUCUAAAAACACCUGCAAGAAGAAAAAAGAAGGACAACAGAAACGAAAGCAGAGAAGCAGAGAUAAAAUGCAUAAACAAUAGUAACAGUAGCGAAUACACAGUGUUGUAAAAGCUAUAAGAGCCAGAAUCGACAAUGUAAUUUUUUACACGGAUACAAAGCAAUCAAAAAAAAAAACAAAAAAGGUUGAGUCUUGUUGUUCUCUCGUUUUUACUUCCCGUUUCUUUAUUUUAUUUUCAGUUCUCAAAUAAGUUUUUAAUAAAAACAUAUAAAAGAAAAGAGAAAAGAGGAUUUACCUGAAGCCCGGAGUCGGUCGUCUGAGUCCCUGCUCCGUCGUAGAGACUGAUUCCCAAAAGGAAAAUGAGGUCUCUUUUCUCGGGUUCUCAAGCCAAGGAAAGCACCGCCUUCGGGUGCUCCAAACCGGGGUUAAAAAGAACCCCUCACACGGCCUCAACCACUGCCCUCGUGGCGUUGUGCGAUGACGGCGAUGAUGGGUUUCUUUUGAAACCCUAGCAAAGCAUAAACCCGGGGGGGUGUUCUGUUUUAGAAGAUGAAGCAAAAUAAGAAAAAAAGUAAUAAAAAUUGGUUUUAAUGGUGCAGCAAAACGGUGUCGUUCUGGUACUAAGGUCACCAGUGACUAAAACAGCGCCUUUUCAGUGAAAUAACCUGCGACCCGACCCAUGAACGGCUUAAGAUCCGCGCGUUUUGGACUGAGGGUAUAUUUGCGCCCUCAGUCAUUCCGCUUUUGAGGCUUAGUUCAAUAGGGUCCAAUUCUACUUCUUUUAUUUUUAAUUUUACCCCUCAAAUUUCCUUAUUAUUUUAUUUGGGCCCCUGAUAAGACUGUGCGUUUUGAGGAACGGGGUUAUUACCCAUCUGGUCCUCCCAUAUUAUUCGCGUGUGCAAAUUGGCCCUUUUCUCUUUUAUUUUCUUUCAAAUUUGCCCCCGAAUUUCUGUUUAAAGUUCAAAUUGGCCCCUUUUCGUCCCUUUUGUUAUUUUAUUAUUUAAUAUUAUUGUUAUUAUAAUUGUAUUUUAUUUUCACGCUUAUUAUUUGCUAUUAUUAUUAUUACCUUCAUUCCAUUAUUAUUAUUGUUGUUGCUAUUUUUUUUGUUUGUAUUAUUAUUUAUAUUAUUGUUAGUAUCAUUGUUAUUCCUUAGUUUAUUAUUAUUAUUUCAUCAUUUUUUUUAUAUUUAUCUAUAUUAUUAUUACUAUUAUUAUUGUAAUUACUUUUGAAUAUAUCAUGCAUUUUAAAUUAUUAUCGAUUUUAAAUAUUUAUCAUAUAUCAUUUCUUUUAAAUCAUCACAUGUAGUAUUUAUUUUGAGACUUUUAUAUGUAUUUUUGUAUUUUAAAUUAUUACAUGUAUACAUAUAUUUCUUUUUAUAUUUAUUUAUUUAAACGUUUUUUAUACAUCAUUUUACCUCGAACUUCUCUUUUCACAUUAUUUAUUCUAAAUAUUUUACACGUCAUUUAAGUUAAACCAUCUUAUAUAUUAUCUAUUUUUAAUUUUUAUAUGCUAUUUUUAUUUAAACCAUUUUAAACUCUUUUAUUAUUCUUUCGAUUAUUAUCUCAAGAUGUCGUAUAUUGCUAAACUAUUUGGUGAAUUUUUUUUUAUUGUUUUGUCAUUUAUUUUAAAUUAUUCAUAUUAUCUAUUCCAUUUUUUUCUUUAAUUGUUGAUAUUGGUAUUUAAAUAAUAUUCAUUGUAUGUCGCCUUUGCAUGCCUUAGAAAUUAUUUGUUAGUAUCUUCAUUGACCUUCAAUAACAUAGCAUCUAAUUCAACUAUCACUAUUCCAUGCUCCAUAUUACCUUUCAUUUUAACUAGUUUAAAUCAUAUCGUGUGUGAAACGUUACGUUUUAGUUCAAACAAAAUUACACUCAUCGUUAAAUGUUAUACUCAUUAUAUUUCAAAAAAUAAAUUUUCUAAAUAAGGAAAUAUUUGGCGUUUGGAAAUUUCGAGAAAUCGUGCCCUACGUGUUGGGUUUCGACUUAUCGUUUGACCGAACAACCAAAUAUCCCUUUUCAAAUUUUCAAUAUAUGAGUUUCAGGAAUCAUGAGAUGAUUUUGGUAUCGAAGGUUUAAAAUAUCGUGUCCUACGUGCUGGAUGUGAUAUUUCAUUUCUUUGAAACAAGAUAAUCUUAAUUGUUUCAUAUUAUUGCAUUUUUAUUCGAGAUUUUUUAAACAAGGCAAUAUCUGGCGUUUGAAAAUUUUGAGAAAUUGUGCCCUACGUGUUGGGUUUUGAUUUGUUGUUUGACCAAAUGACCGAAUAUCCUUUUUAGAUUUUCAAUGCAUAAGUUUUGGAAAUUAUGAGACGAUUUUGGUAUCGAAGGUUGAAAUAUCGUGUCCUACAUGUUGGAUGUGAUAUUGUAUUUCUUCGAAACAAGAGAAUAUUAUUAUCCACUUCAAGUUUUUCAAACAUUCAUAACAAGGGAUUGUAUUUUAAAUUUUAUUUCAAAAUCUUUUAAAUUUUCGACAUUAAGACGUUAAUUAAUCAAUUAGGUACCAAUUUUGGGCGUUACGAGGGUGCUAAUCCUUCCUCGUACGUAACCAACUCCCAAACCCGUUUUCUCAAAUUUAGUAAACCAAAAUCAUUUUUUUAAUAAAAUAAAAUAUUUUAUUAAAACAAUCAAAAUAUUAGGUGAUCCGUUCACACCUAAACAAAAAGGAUUGGUGGCGACUCCCUUUUUUUCGUUUUCAUUUUCAAAACCAAAGUUGAUCCCCUUUUUUUUUAAAAAAAUAGUUUCGACAGCUUGGCGACUCCACUGGGGACUUGAGAGUCGAGCCAUAAAUUGAUUAAUUUUUGUCCUUUGUCGAAAAUUAAAAUUCGUUUUAAACUUACGAUCCCUUCAUUGCAUUUCAUCCGUUUUUCUUAUGGUUUUCAUCAUUUUGUUCCUAUUUUCUUUGUUGCUUCGAGUUUUUUUAUGUAUAUAUCCUCGCAUAUUGCAUUGCAUGACCGUUAUGGUCACACCUCUUAAGUGGGAGUGAGAAACUAUUCCUUCGUGAGGUUUUCACCUCCGUGUAGGAUAGUGAAUUGCUUUCGGGAUACAUCCGUACCUAUGUCUUCGUGAGAUUUUCAUCUCCGUGUAGCCAUAGGAAAAUGUAUUCCCCUGAACUAAACUCGGUCUAUAUGAGCCUAUAAUGGGUGAGGAUUGAGGAAUCUACUAGCUCGGGUACCUUUACUCUAGAACCAAACCACAUAUAAUGAGCCCUAAGAGCCUACUCUAGGUAGAACCGCAUCAGACCCUAGUGAUUACCCGAUUAGGUACUUAAUAUUUCCUGUUUGCUUUAAGUUUUGUUAUAUAAUACUGACUUGUUGUGUUUUGUUGUUAUUGCAUGGCAUUUCAUCAUAAAAAGGUGUUGAUUCCCAUUCGGUUACUAAGUAGAAGAGCUUAGCAUGAAAAAGGGGUUUCUUGAUAGAGUAGAGGAUAAUGCGGCAGUCCGAGUAUGGUCCGAGACGACACAACAGGAGAAAGAUGAUAGUUUGACCGAAGGAUACGAAUCAGAAUUGUGGGAUUUCACUAGCAUCGGUGUAACUCAAAGUGACCUACAAGAACUAAAAGAGAUAUGGGGUCAAUGGAGUGACGAGGUCAAGCAACUCUUUUAUUGUAAUUACGGUGACCUACCCUAUUUGCUUGAUGCAAAGGUGAACAAACAUCUGUUUCGAGCCUUCGUGUAAUUUUGGAAUCCCACCUACAGUUGCUUCAUUUUCGGAAAACUUGAUUUCAUACCAACUGUGGAGGAGUACAUGGCUUUACUUCGUUGCCCGAAGAUUCUGGUCAACAAAGCCUAUUCAAGAGCUACUAAUGUCACAGCCUUCGUAAAAAAUUUAGUGAGUAUCACGGGGAUGAGCGAAUAGUGGGUUGCAAGCCGAUUAAGCAGAAAGGAAACAGUAAGUGUAUUCCUUGGAAGAACUUGAGAGAUCUAAUCCUAGCGCAUCCGGAUAUAAGGAAGAGGGUUGACGUGUUCGCUUUGAGCAUCUACGGUUUGGUUGUCUUUCCUAAUGCAUUAGGAUAUGUAGAUGAAGCAGUCUCAGACCUUUUCGAUUUACUUGAUAAAGGGGUCACACCCGUCCCGACAAUCCUAGAGGAAACUUUCAGGUCCUUGAACGCAUGUCGGAGGGCAGGUGAAGGAAGAUUCAUAGGAUGUGCUCAAUUAUUGUUGGCUUGGUUUCAUAGCCACUUUUGGAAAGUAGAAAAGGUCUCCUAUCAAGUUUUCUCAGAGAACUACUCCCCACUGAAAGAAUUAGUGGGUACGACAAGGCAGGAUGACCUUUCUAAAGAAAAGUGGAUGGCGAUUCUCCAGAAUCUACAAGCUGAAGAUUUUGAGUAGAGAGCCCCAUGGAUGAUCCCUGGCGAGAUCUUAUAUCGAUAUGGGGACUUUGACUGGGUCCCCUUACUCGGGAUAUGGGGAGCCAUUGGGUAUGCUCCACUACUUGUUUUAAGACAGUAUCGCUCAAGGCAGUUCGUACUAGCAACACAAGGGUUAGCUCAAUGUGAGUUCUCUUAUAAGGACGACAAUUAUAGGAAAAAGGUUUGUGAGAUGUCAAAUGCUUGGAAACGAACCAGAAGAAUGAAAGGAUUCACGACGGGUCCAAUAACGACCCCCGAGUAUGACCGGUGGUGGAUUAAAAGAGUCAAUGACAACAUCCCAAUGUCAAGUCAGGAAAAUGCCCGACCAAUAGAAGAGCAUUUACAAGUAGUCCCAUCCGAGUUAAAGAUCAUCAAACAAGACUUUGAAAAAAGGAGCUCGGAAUUGGGAAAGAAAAUAAAACAAUUAGAGGAGGAAAAGAUGCGGCUAGGAUCAGAUGUCGACAUCCACAAGCUAGAGGGUGAAAAGCUAAGGAAAGGGACGAAUAAAGCCGAAGAGGAUUUAGAUAGUCUGAAGACUGAUUAUUAGAAGCUGCGUAUGUCAAUAAGAACUGCCGGUUUGGGUAAAACAUUGGAUCAGUGGCGUCAAGAAAUUGAAAAAGAAAAGGCUAGAGCCGAUCACUGGGAGAAGAAGUUUUAAGAUGUUCGAGUGUGAGAAGAUGUUUUGAAAAAGAGUUUGUCAGAAAGCCAAAGCGAAAAAGAAAGGUUAAAAGCUCAAAUAGCUGAAUUGGAAAAAUCGCUAUAUCUACAUCGUAGCCGUAACUCUGUAACCGAGUUGAAGGCCAGCCUGAGCAAGAUCAAUGAGAUGAAAGGGAAAAUAGAAGAACUCGUGACGACACUACAAGAUAACAAAAGUCGAGUGGAAUUUCUUGAGGUAAACAAUGAACAUUACAAAACACAACUUUACCAUUCUCAAGAUCAGAUCAGAAAUAGAGAUUAUAUCAUGGGUGAAGCUGUGGCCCAAGUUAGAGUGAUAGCCGAUCAUUUGCAAACCUUGGCAGUUCAGGCUGAUAUAUUAAGCCUAAAAUACAAGUCAGAAUCAGAUCGAGGCCGGGACUUAGCUUGGCUUCUUAAGAAAGUUAAAGCUUUGGGCAUUAGGGCAAAGUCGUAUAUAUAAUUAUCCGUUCUAUGUAAAGAAAUUUUGUUUCUAGCAAAGUUGUUCUAAUGAAAUUGAAUCAGAAUCAACGCCUCUUUUUGCAUUCAUCCAUUCAUUUGCAUUCAUGCAUUUGUAUUACAUUACAUCAUAUGUAUUAAAGGCCAUAAAAAGAUUCUAAUUAAUUAAAAAUAUUUCAGUAAUCUGGAAACCGACAAAAAUCUCCCAAAUACACAUCCCUACUGUACAAGAAGAAAAACUAAAGCAAUGGAUAAAAAACUAGAGAGACUAGAGCAAAUGCAGAAAGAGAUGCAGGAGCAGAUGCAAGCACAAGUGCAAGAACAGUUAGCAAAAAUCCAGCAAGAAAUGAGGGACCAGAUGCUGGAAUCCCAAAGAAAUAUGAUGGAAGAGCUAACCCAACUACUAACUAGUAGGCCGGACAAAGGAAAGGGCCCUAUAGCCGAUAUGGGAAAUAACAAUGAAGAUUCCCUUUACCCCCUGGUUUUACCCCGACAAACGCUCAAACGCAGCAUGAGACACACACGCAGAGGCCAUCCAUUAUUGAAGAUCCCCUCUAUCCCCCUGGUUUCACCCCGACGAAUGCUCAAAUGCAACUCGAGCUACACAUGCAAAGACCGUCCGUUACGAUCAGGCCUUAGCAAUUUUAGACUGAUACCUCGAUGCUAAUCAAUUAUCAAACAGGCUCAGGCUCUAAUCCUAGAGAUAACCCUAUUAAUCUUACAAUACCUGAUCUAGAUAAUAUGGCAGAAGAAGAAAGAGUGAGAACAGGGCUCUCGAAAGAAUUGGAAGACCGAUGCAAGUGGUUAGAGGAAAAGUUCAAAGUGAUGGAAAAUACUGACUAUUAUUGUGGGAUCGACGCUAAAGAUCUGAGCUUAGUCCCAGACCUAGUCCUCCCUCCUAAGUUCAAAAUCCCAGACUUUGAAAAAUACAAUGGAACUAGCUGUCCAGAGGCUCACAUCAUCAUGUUUUGGCAUGGUAUGUUCAUAAUGAUCAAUUAUUGAUCCACUGCUUCCAAGACAGUUUGGUCAGGUCUGCGUCCAAAUGGUACAACCAAUUAAGUCGCGCGCAAAUCCAUUCAUGGAAAGACUUGGCACAAGCUUUCAUGAAGCAAUACAGCCAUGUGACAGGCAUAGCACCUGAUUGAAUCACGUUACAAAACAUGGAGAAGAAACAAAAUGAGAGUUUCAAGCAGCACGCCCAAAGAUGGAGAGAGGUGGCGACGCAAGUCCAACCACCUCUUCUAGAGAAAGAAAUGACUAUGCUCUUUAUCAACAUUCUGGAAGCUCCGUUUAUUAACCACAUACUGGGAAGCGCUACUAAGAACUUCUCAGACAUAGUAAUGUUAGGAGAGAUGAUAAAGAACACGAUAAGAUACGGGAAGAUCGAAACAGGGGAAAAUGCCAAGAAAUCAGCUCCGAAAAGGAAAAAAAAUGAGGUGAACUACGCGGGUGUAUACAAUAAGAGUUACUCCAAGCCAGUCACUAUGAGCCAACCAAAAACAGUGACUACCAGCCGUCAGGGCUCUGCAAGACAAUAUUUAAACCCGAGGCCUAACACGGAAAAGGUCCAGUUUACGCCUAUCCCAAUGUCAUACAGGGAGUUGUAUCAGAAUUUAUUCGAUGCCCAUGUGGUGUCACAUUACUACUUGAAACCCCUGCAACCUCCGUUCCCUAAGUGGUAUGACGCAAACGCUCAAUGCGAAUACCAUGCAGGAAUCUCGGGACACACGAUUGAGAAUUGUACUGCCUUUAAAAAAGUAGUCGAAUGGCUCAUAGCCAUGGGCGUUGUGAAGUUCGACGAGCCCUCAAGACCUAAUGUGGCUGGGAAUCCGUUACCUAGUCAUUCAGACAAAGGGAUAAAUGCGAUAAUUGAAAAUGGAAGGAAAAGAACCAAGAUGGAUGUAUUAGAGGUAAAAACCCCGUUGAAAUAGGUUUGGAAGAGGAUGUUGGAAAGAGGUUUAGUCACACAAGAUUCAAAGGAAAGGCCCAGAGAAGCGAGAAGAUACUGCGAGUUUAAUACUGAUGAAGGCCAUGACAUCCAAGAGUGCAAUAAGUUCAGGUCCAUGUGCAAAAUCUGAAGGACAAUAAGGAGAUAGAAUUUUAUGAAGAAAUAGAAAGAUCAGAAGAAUGAAAGGUUUGCGCCUCAGAGGAAGGAACUAGAUAAGGGGUCCAAAGAGUUAAUCAUCCUGUGGUGAUAAUUUCGCGACCGAGGAAUAAUGAAGCAGGAGUACAAAUGGCGCCGAGAGUCAUAAUCCAGAAGUCGGUAUCCUUCCCUUACAAAGAUAGUAAAAGGGUUUCCUGGAAUUACGACUGCAAUGUGAUGGUCCCAGGUAUGGAGAACCCGGCUAGCACUUCAAAGGAGAACCAAAAUGUAGGUUUCUAUACACGCAGUGGGAGACGUUAUGACCCUACGGGUACAGGAACUGAAACUGUUAAAAGAAAGACCCCAAUAGUUGAGCAAAGGAAGGAAAAGACGGUCAGGCUCAAGUCGCCAAUCAACGAGCCAGUAACCGAGAAUAAAGUUAAAGAAUUCUUGAAAUUCUUAAAGCAUAGUGAGUACAGCGUGGUUGAACAGUUACACAAGCAAUCGGCUCGCAUCUCAGUGCUAACUUUGCUCUUGAGUUCGGAGACACAUCGGAGCGCGUUAAUGAAGGUACUAAACGAAACUUACGUCGCGGAUGAUAUCUCUGUCAACAAGCUGGACCAUCUCGUCAAUAAUAUAAGUGCCGAUAAUUUCAUAUUUUUCAAUGACGAUAAAAUACCGCCAGGGGGAAUGGGGUCAACAAAAGCGCUACACAUCACCACCCGCUGUAAAGGAUAUACACUACUGGGAGUGUUGAUUGACAAUGGGUCUGCACUAAAUGUCCUACCCCUAUCUACGCUGAAUAGGUUGCCAGUAGAUAGUUCCCAUAUGAAGACAUGCCAAAAUGUAGUGAGGGCAUUUGAUGGUACUGAAAGUAAGGUAAUGGGGAGGAUUGAAAUACCCCUUUUAAUCGGUCCAAUCACAUACAAGAUAGAUUUCUUAGUGAUGGACAUCAAGCUCUCUUACAAUUGCUUGUUGGGAAGGCCAUGGAUUCACUCAACAGGAGUGGCGCCAUCGUCGUUACAUCAAAAGCUCAAAUUUGUAACGGAAGGCCGAUUGGUGACCGUAAACGCAGAAGAAGAUAUCAUUGCAUCCGUUACCAGCGAUGCACCAUAUGUGGGGACAGAUGAUGAAGUAAUAGAAUGCUCUUUCGAUCAUUAGAAUUUGUGAAUGCAACCUUUAUUGUCAAAGGGAACAAGGCCCCGGUGCCCAAAAUUUCCAAAACUACCAGGAUAGGCUUGCAACUGACAGUUGGAAUAGGAGCUUUAUCCGGAAAGGGGCUUGGAAGAAAUCUACAAAGAAGGAUCAAGGCACCCAUGCUCACAAACAAACGAGACCGUUUUGGUUUAGGGUACAAGCCAGAUGCAAGGCAGAAGAAAAAGGAGAUAGACAAGAAACAAGAGAAGAGAAGAGCGCGUUUAAAUGGAGAAUAGGUCAAAUGGGAGCCAAUGACCUUUCCUCACAUAUCCAGAACAUUCAUGUCGGAAGGGACUAUUUACUCUGAAGGAAGAUCGACGAGGAAGGGGUCUGCCGAAGAAAUGUUGAAAAAAUUGAGCAUUAACGUCAUAUCCAAGGAAGAAAAAAGAUACGAAGAUCAUGUAGGCAUUUGCCCGUACAUGCCCGGGAGUCUUUUAAACAAUUAGACCGCAGAGAAGAUCCCUGUAACCUUUAAGAUUAAUUCAGAGUAAUUUCCAAAAUAAGCUUAUUGCUCUAAGCCUAGGGGCAAUAAGAAUCCUUUUAUAAAAUAGGCAUAUGUCCAAAUAUCGUUAUUUUAAUAAAAAUGCACUUUUGCAUAUCAUCUUGAGCAAAUAUUCUUUUAUUCUUUCCAUUUCAUUCAUAAUCAUACCACCAAUAAAUAUUCUUAGAUUCUUUUGUUCUCUGGACUUUUCUUCAUCUCUAUAACAGGUCUCCAGAUAUCAAUGAUAUAACUAACGCUGCUACUGACUCAGAGUCUCCUUUUGAGCAAGAUAUUGUACGGAAGAUUCUCAAGAUUUUGAAGAUAACCGAAAUUGUAACCUAUCUCUGGAUUAGUUAAGGAUGGUAGAACAAGAUGAGAAACAAAUCCUACCUCACAAGGAGUCAAUGGAAAUUGUGAGCUUAGGAGAAGGAAAAUAGGUGAAGAUUGGAGCUUGUAUCACCGUGGAGACAAAACGAGAUCUCAUUGAGCUACUACAAGAAUUUAAAGAUGUCUUCGCAUGGUCAUAUCAAGACAUGCCCGGGUUAAAUACCGAUAUUGUGGUACACCGACUCCCCAUAAAGGAAGAGAGUAAGCCAGUCCAACAGAAACUCCGAAGAAUGAGACCUGAUGUUCUGUUGAAGAUAAAUGAGGAGGUCAAGAAAUAAUUCGAUGCCGGUUUCUUACGAGUGGUUAAAUAUUCAGAAUGGGUAGCCAAUAUAGUCCCAGUUCUUAAGAAAGAUGGAAAAGUACGGAUGUGCGUAGACUAUCGAGAUCUGAACGAAGCCAGCCCAAAAGACAAUUUCCCGUUGCCUCACAUUGAUAUAUUAGUGGAUAACACGGCAGGUUACUCACUUUUCUCCUUCAUGGAUGGUUUUUUGGGAUACAACCAGAUAAAGAUGCGCCUCGGAGACAUGGAAAAAACCAUAUUCGUGACCAUGUGGGGAACGUUUUGUUAUAAGUUGAUGUCAUUCAGACUGAAGAACGCAAUAGCGAUAUAUCAGAGAGCCAUUGUAACUCUGUUUCAUGAUAUGAUGCACAAGGAGAUCGAAGUUUACGUCGAUGACAUGAUUGCAAAAUCCAGGACAAAAAAAGAGCACAUACAAGUCUUGAAGAAAUUGUUCUUAAGGUUAAGAAAGUUUCAAUUAAAGCUCAAUCCCGCAAAAUGUACCUUCGAGGCCAGGUCAAGAAAGCUGUUAGGAUUCAUAGUCAGUGAAAAAGGGAUCAAAAUCGACCCAGAUAAAGUCAAAGACAUACAAGAGUUACCUCCGCCACGCACUCAAAAAGAAGUUCGAGGCUUCCUAGGAAGGCUAAACUACAUCACCCGGUUUAUUUCACAACUAACAGAGAAGUGUGACCCGAUAUUCUGUCUCCUUAAGAAACAUAACCCAAGUGUAUGGGAUGAGGAGUGCCAAAGAACUUUUGAUAAGGUCAAGCAUUAUCUGUCCAAUCCCCUAGUGCUAAUGCCACAUUGCGCAGAUAAGCCACUGAUAUUGUAUUUGGCAGUGUUCGAAAACUCCAUGGGAUGCGUGUUAGGCCAACAUAAUGAGUCGGGAAGAAAAGAGAAAGCGAUAUAUUAUCUCAGUAAGAAAUUCACCGAAUGUGAGAAAAUAUAUUCACCGAUCGAGAAAUUGUGUUGUGCUUUGAUUUGGACAACCUGGAGACUAAGACAGUAUAUGUUGUACCACACAACUUGGCUCAUUUCAAAAUUAGACCCUCUGAAGUACAUGAUGGAGUCAAAUGCUUUGAAAGGAAGAAUGGCUCGUUGGUAAAUUUUACUUUCGGAGUUAGACAUAGUCUACGUGAACCAAAAAGCCAUACAAGAAAGUGCAAUAACAAAUUUUUUGGCCAGCAGGGCUUUAGAAGAUUAUGAACCUUUGAGCUUCGAUUUCCCAAACGAAGAUCUAAUGUAUGUUGCAACCACUGAAGAAGACCCUCAAGAAGAUCAUCCCUGAAGACUGAAUUUUGAUGGAGCCUCGAAUGCUGUGGGUAAUGGAAUCGGGGCAGUUUUGGUAUCCCCAAAUGGAGAUCGUUAUCCCUUUACUAGUAAAUUGGAUUUUGAUUGCACAAAUAACAUGGCGGAGUAUGAAGCAUGCAUCAUGGGUAUCCGUGCAGCUAUUGAACGCAAAAUUAAUGUGCUAGAAGUAUAUGGGGAUUCUGCAUUAAUGAUCUAUCAGCUCAAAGGUGAAUGGAAGACGAGAAACCGUAAAUUGAUUAAUUACCGAAAGUUAGUUCUAGAGUUAAUUGAGGAGUUUGACGACAUCACUUUUUGCUAUCUCCCACGAGAUGAAAACCAGAUGGCUGACGCCUUGGAAACUUUAGCUUCUAUGAUCAAAGUAAACAAGCAGGAGGAUAUAAAGCCUAUCCAGAUGAGUAUCUAUAAGGCUCCGGCUCAUUGCUACAACAUUGACGAAAAAGAAGAAAAAGAUGAUCACCCUUGGUAUCAAGAUAUAUUACGAUAUGUGAAAAGUCGUGAAUACCCUGACCAAGCGACUAAGAAUGAUAAAAGGACAAUUAGAAGGCUGGCUAGUGAUUAUGUAUUGGAUGGAGUGAUCCUAUAUAAAAGAAGGAAGGAUCAGGUGCUGCUAAGGUGUGUGGACGCCGUUGAGGCAAAACAAAUCUUAGAGGAGGUUCAUGAGGGUGUCUGUAGAACGCACGCUAAUGGUUUCACAAUGGCCAGACAAAUCAUGAAAUUCGGGUAUUAUUGGUCCACUAUGGAAAUGGAUUGCAUCAGCUAUGCCAAAAAGUGUCAUAAAUGCCAAAUUUACGGAGAUAAAAUUUAUGUACCUCAUUCACCUUUUCAUGUCAUGACUUCUCCAUGGCCUUUCUCCAUGUGGGGGAUGGAUUUCAUUGGGCCGAUCUCACCGAAGGCAUCUAACAGACAUCAAUUUAUCUUUGUGGUUAUCGAUUACUUCACCAAGUGGGCAGAGGCCACAUUUUAUGCCAACGUCACAAAAUUGGUAGUCAGCAAGUUCCGAAAGAAAGAGAUCAUAUGUCGAUAUGGGAUGCCUAAGAGGAUCAUAUCUGACAAUACACUGAACUUGAACAAUAGCACGAUAGCAGAGGUCUGUAGCCAAUUCAAGAUCAAACACCAUAACUCGUCACCAUAUCGCCCAAAAAUGAAUGGUGCGAUGGAAACAGCCAAUAAGAAUAUCAAGAAAAUCAUGAGAAAAAUGACUGAGACUUAUAAAGAUUGGCAUGAGAAAUUACCAUUCGCCCUCUACGCCUACCGAACGUCAGUCAGAACCUCCACCAAGGUAACACCUUUCUCUUUGGUUUAUGAAAUGGAGGCGAUCUUGCCUAUUGAUGUUGAAAUUCCUUCUCUACGAGUCCUGUCGGAACUAAAGUUAGAUGAAGCAGAAUGGAUCCAGUCACGAUAUGAUCAGCUAAACCUAAUUGAUGAAAAGUGGCUGAAAGCUAUUCACCACGGUCAAAUGUACCAAAAGCAAAUGAUGCGAGCUUAUAACAAGAAGGUAUGCCCUAGAGAAUAACAUAAGGGAGACCUUGUUUUGAAAAAGAUCCUCCCCAUACAAAAGGACUUUAGAGGAAAAUGGAUGCAAAAUUCAGAAAGACUAUAUGUGGUGAAGAAGGCUUUCUCUGGAGGAGCUCUAAUUUUGACCGAAAUGGAUAGAAAAAGCCUGCCUAAUCCCAUAAAUUUGGAUUCAGUUAAGAGGUACUUUACCUAAAAAAAUAGAGAAGCCAAGGCGAAAACCCGUAAAAUGGCGCUUUGAGACUAAAAGGGGUUUUAAAUUGAAAACCCAAGAAUGGGCAAUUCAAAUUUUGAUCGAAGUUGGGGCAUGCGGUAGUCUUGUUUUUCUCUGAAUUAACAAGGAGGGAUGCUACAUCUUGGGGCAUCAACAAAAGACUCUUGGUCUUCUAAACGCAUAUCAAGUUCAAAGGGUCCUCGAGAAGCUCUGUGCAGAGAAGCUCAUGCUACGAUAUCUGGGGCACCUAUUUUCAUGUUAUUCGUUUUGUACCCUAGCAAAAUUUGCUAUCUUGAUUGCUUAUUCAUUUUGAGCUUUUUCUCAAUAAAAUUUUGUCUUGUCCAUUACGAUAAUCUUUUUCAAGCACUUUUCAUUGAAAUAAUGAUUAACGGACUAAUGACAUUCAAAAGGAGUUCUGCAUAUUACUCUGAAAUGAUUUUAAAUGAUACAAAGACCUGAAACGGGACUAAUUAGUUUGAAUUACCUAAAUUCAAGGAAACAUUAGGAAAAGAAUAGCCCAAAUUGUGAUUGUUCUUCAAAAGAUACCAGCUAAAGAAAAAAGGGAGAGUAAUACGUCAAUGAUAAAACUUCGAUGAACAGCGAGUAAUAUCAAAUUAGGCAUUAAAAAUAACAUUUUUGCAUUCACGCCAACAUCAUCCAUGCACAUCUAGUUAGGAUCAUUUGAUUCAUUCAUGACAUCCUAAUCAUUUGGCAUAUGCAUAGGCUCAAGAAAUCGAUUCUACAGGUCAUGUCCCUCAGAGGACGAUGUAGCAAGAUCGAUUGUAACUACGAAUUUUGGCAAAUCUUAUCUUCCUGAAGUUGCAAUGAAGUAGAUUGAAACCACUAACUUUAUCUCCUUGAAGAUACGGCGGAGUAGACUGAAGUUACAAGUCUUAUCUUCCUGAAGUUACAGUGAAGCAGAUCGAAACCACUAACCUUAUCUCCCUGAAGAUACGGUGGAGUAGGUUGAAGUUACAAGUCUUAUCUCCCUGAAGUUGCAGUGGAGCAGGCUGAAGGUAGCGAAUCUUGUUUUCCUGAAGUUGCAGUGGAACAGAUUGAAGCUAUAAAUUGUAGAUCUUAUCUCUCUGAAGUUACAGUAGAGUAGAUCAAAACAAGUCUUAUCUCCCUGAAGUUGCAGUGGAGCAGGCUGAAGAUAGCAAAUUUUGUUUCCCUGAAGUUGCAGUGGAACAGAUUGAAGCUAUAAAUCACAGAUCUUAUCCCCCCAAAAUGGCAAUAGAGCAGGUCGAAAGUAAAAACCUCAUCUUCCUGAAGUUGCAGUGGAGCAAGUUAAAAGAGCAAGAUUUAUAUCCCCAAAGUUGCGGUGGAGCAUAUUAAAGCUACUUAAAGAAAAUAAGCGCCAAAAAAAGUCGGGACUCAGCAGGUCCAGGCAAAACGGGCCCUUUUAUGGUCUUUGCUCUAUUCCCGUUACACAACGAUGAGCAAAGAGGGGCAACUGUACGGGCCCAAAUUUGCCAGGCCCUUUAGAAAACCUAAUAAUAACAACAAAACCCUAAACCCGAAAGGCUCAAAAUCUAAAAAAAAAUUUACCCUAAUGCCUAUGUGCGCCGUACCCCUCCUCGAUCACGUCGCCUAUACCUCGUCCCGAGGCUCACCCUUCCUGUCUCCAUUUCACCAAAAUGGUAAAGGGUUGGCCUCAUUUCUUCGUUGACCCUCCAAAAACACCUGCAAGAAGAAAAAAGGACAACAGAAACGAAAGCAGAGAUAAAAUGCAUAAACAAUAGUAACAAUAGCGAAUACACAGUGUUGUAAAAGCUAUAAGAGCCAGAAUCGACAAUGUAAUUUUUUACACGGAUACAAAGCAAUAAAAAAACAAACAAAAAAGGUUGAGUCUCGUUGUUCUCUCGUUUUUACUUCCCGUUUCUUUAUUUUAUUUUCAGUUCUCAAAUAAGUUUUUAAUAAAAACAUAUAAAAGAAAAGAGAAAAGAGGAUUUACCUGAAGCCCGGAGUCGGUCGUCGGAGUCCCUGCUCCGUCGUUGAGACCGAUUCCCAAAAGGAAAAUUAGGUCUCUUUUCUCGGGUUCUCAAGCCAAGGAAAGCACCGUCUUCGGGUGCUCUAAACCGGGGUUAAAAAGAACCCCUCGCACGGCCUCAACCACUGCCCUCAGUGGUGUUGUGCGAUGACGGCGAUGAUGGGUUUCUUUUGAAACCCUAGCAAAGCACAAACCGGGAGGGUGUUCUGUUUUAGAAGAUGAAGCAAAAUAAGAAAAAAAGUAAUAAAAAUUGGUUUAAAU
RNAcentral lists this long non-coding RNA (15557 nucleotides) under Gossypium barbadense (sea-island cotton). RNAcentral's name for it is "long non-coding RNA (GBAR_LNC001119)". The record is from RNAcentral. Lineage: Eukaryota; Viridiplantae; Streptophyta; Magnoliopsida; Malvales; Malvaceae.